This 469-nucleotide ribosomal RNA is filed under the name uncultured bacterium. RNAcentral's name for it is "partial 16S ribosomal RNA". It matches the Rfam family "Bacterial small subunit ribosomal RNA", at positions 28 to 508 of the family's 1533-position model. The record is from RNAcentral.
GACGAACGCUGGCGGCGUGCUUAACACAUGCAAGUCGAACGGAAAGGCCCUGCUUUUGUGGGGUGCUCGAGUGGCGAACGGGUGAGUAACACGUGAGUAACCUGCCCUUGACUUUGGGAUAACUUCAGGAAACUGGGGCUAAUACCGGAUAGGAGCUCCUGCUGCAUGGUGGGGGUUGGAAAGUUUCGGCGGUUGGGGAUGGACUCGCGGCUUAUCAGCUUGUUGGUGGGGUAGUGGCUUACCAAGGCUUUGACGGGUAGCCGGCCUGAGAGGGUGACCGGCCACAUUGGGACUGAGAUACGGCCCAGACUCCUACGGGAGGCAGCAGUGGGGAAUAUUGCACAAUGGGCGGAAGCCUGAUGCAGCAACGCCGCGUGCGGGAUGACGGCCUUCGGGUUGUAAACCGCUUUCGCCUGUGACGAAGCGUGAGUGACGGUAAGGGGUAAAGAAGCACCGGCUAAAUACGUGC